UGGGGAAUAUUGCGCAAUGGGCGAAAGCCUGACGCAGCAACGCCGCGUGGGUGAAGAAGGCCUUCGGGUUGUAAAGCCCUUUCGGCCGGGAAGAAGGUGUAUUUGGUGAACAGCCUAGUACAUUGAUGGUACCGGAGGAAGAAGCACCGGCAAACUUCGUGCCAGCAGCCGCGGUAAUACGAAGGGUGCGAGCGUUGUUCGGAAUUAUUGGGCGUAAAGGGUUCGUAGGCGGGUCUGUAAGUUGAGUGUGAAAACCCUGGGCUUAACCUGGGACGUGCACUCAAAACUGCGGAUCUUGAGUGUUGGAGAGGGUGGUGGAAUUGCUGGUGUAGGAGUGACAUCCGUAGAGAUCAGCAGGAACGCCGGAGGCGAAAGCGACCGCCUGGCCAAACACUGACGC
This 400-nucleotide ribosomal RNA is filed under the name uncultured bacterium. RNAcentral describes it as "bacterial SSU rRNA". It matches the Rfam family "Bacterial small subunit ribosomal RNA", at positions 355 to 746 of the family's 1533-position model. The record is from RNAcentral.